AAUUUUUUUUUUUUUUUUUUUUUUUUUUUUUUUUUUUUUUUUUUUUUAUAUAUGUUAGGGAGUAUAAGGAUUAUUAUAGUAGGGUGUAGUUUGUAGUAUUGAAUGUUUUUUUUUUUUUUUUUCUGUAAUGUGUUGAUUUCCACCGUAGAUUUUCUCACUAUUCGUGUAUAUGUCCCCACUCUUUCUAGUGUUUUAUGUGUGUGUUUAUAUAGGGAGUGUGUAUGUGUGCAGUGCAGACGUUAGGUUUAGUGCAUGUGUAUUCGUGUAGUGGGGAAGUUAGGUUUGGGGGAUGAUAGGAAAGUUAGGGAAAUGUUGGAGGUAAUGGGAAAGUUAGGGGAAUGUUGGAGGUAAUGGGAAAGUUAGGGGAAUGUUGGAGGUAAUGGGAAAGUUAGGUUUAUUUUUUUAUUUUUUUAAAUAUUUUAAAUAAAAUAAAAAUAAUAAAAUCUAUUUGAAAUUAACAAAAUACAAAUAAGUUAAAUAGCUAGUCUUAGAAAUAUGAUUAAAAAUUAUUAAUAUCACUAGAUUCUUUAUUAAAAGUUAAAAAUAAAAAACAAAUAAAUUUAGAAUUUUUUUUUAUAAAUAAAUAAACAAAUAAUAAUAAAAAUAAAAGAUUAUUAAAAUGUGGCUCUAUUUUUUAUAGUUUUCAAAACUUUUAACAAACCAUGUAAAAUAAGAUAAACUUAAAAUAUCUAAUUUAGACCUAAAAGAAAAUAAAACACUAAAAUGAUAUAAAAAUGUUAGAUUUGGUCAAAAAUUAGGUGUUUGCAGAAUGUCCCUCUUUGCUUGGUAAUAUGAAGAAUUUUCAAGCAAAGAAGUAAACAUGACUAAUUUUUUGCGUAACCAUUUAUUUAAAAGUAAUAUGUAAGUGAGUAGAAAAGAGGUGUGAUCGAGCCCUUAUUUUGGGCAUCCUACAUAUUUCGGGUUAUAGAAUCAGGUCACGUGUAGUUCAAAUGGGUAUAGGAAUGAAGGAAUGAGUUGGAGAGCCGAGUUGAGGUCUCGUCGAGUUUCCGGUCCGCAGUUCCUUUUAGUACAAAAGAAAAUGAAACUAGAAAUGAAAUUACAAGAUCCUAUCUAUUCUAUUUGUCUUGAUUCUCUUGCUUCAGAUCUUCCUCUUGAAUCUUCUGUUAUCGCCUCACCUUCUUCUGGUGGGUACCUUGAUCUCAAAAUUUGAUCUUGAAGUUAAGAUUUGAGACUUGAACUUGAGACUUGGAUUGAGUCAUUGACACUCUACCAAAGAACGGUUCAUAGAAUACUUUAGAUGCUUGUUCUCCUGAUCAGAAGCUAAAAAGAUGUCUCUUGAGAUGUUGGGCCGCUACGGAUGCAAAACUGACUCUAACUGUCUUCAAACUGACCAUUCUUAUAUAUUCUGACUGAAAACGAAAUUUCAUUCUUGCAUAAACCUGUGCUUUGCUGAAAAACCUGCAAGCCAUCAAAGAAAAUUAAAAAAAAUGACCGAAAUUUUUCUGCCCCAGUUUGCACUAGAAAAAUUUUGUGAGUUAUUAGAAAAGUUCCAAACUAAUUACUUAAGUGGAAAAGAUAGAAAUGCUAGAAACCUGAGCUAGGUAGAAAAAUUAACGAAGUCCCUAUUCUCAAUAAUGCAACCAAAGGAUAUUGUGCCUUGUGAAUGCAUGAAAAGAAAUAAGGAUUUUUUUUUAAAUACGACUGUGGAAUGUCCUAUCUAAGAUGUCAACUAGAGAAUUUCGUACCCUAUGAAGACGAAGAAGAAAAAUAAAAAAUGGUGUUUACAAAUAUGUCAACAAGGGGAUGGCGCCCUAUGAAGACGAAAAGAAAAUUAGGAAAUGGUGUUUCCUAAGAUGUCAACUAGGGGAUGACGCCCUAUGAAUACGAAGAAGAAAAUUAGAAAAUAGAGUUUCCUAAAAUGUCAACCAGGGGAUGACGUCCUAUGAAGACGAAGAAGAAAAAUAAAAAAUGGAGUUUCCUAAGAUGUCAACUAGGGGAUGACGCCCUAUGAAGAAGAAAAUAAAAUUAGGAAAUGGUGUUUCCUAAGAUGUCAACUAGGGGAUGGCGCCCUAUGAAUACGAAGAGGAAAAUUAGAAAAUGAAGUUUCCUAAAAUGUCAACUAGGGGAUGGCGCCCUAUGAAGACGAAGAAGAAAAAUAGAAAAUGGAGUUUCCUAAGAUGUCAACUAGGGGUUGUCGCCCUAUGAAGACGAAGAAGAAAAUUAGGAAAUGAUGUUUCUUAAGAUGUCAACUAGGGGAUGGAGCCCUACGAAGACGAAGAGAAAAAUUAGGAAAUGGUGUUUCCUAAGAUGUCAACUAGGGGAUGGUGCCCUAUGAAGACAAAGAAAAAAAAAUAGAAAAUGGUGUUUCCUAAGAUGUCAACUAGGAAAUGACGCCCUAUAAAGACGAAUAAGAUGUCAACUAGGGGAUGACAUCCUACGAAGACGAAAUAAGAUGUCAACUAGGGGAUGACAUCCUACGAAGACGAAAUAAGAUGUCAACUAGGGGAUGACAUCCUACGAAGACGAAAUAAGAUGUCAACUAGGGGAUGACGCCCUAUGAAUACGAAGAAGAAAAUUAGAAAAUAGAGUUUCCUAAAAUGUCAACCAGGGGAUGACGUCCUAUGAAGACGAAGAAGAAAAAUAAAAAAUGGAGUUUCCUAAGAUGUCAACUAGGGGAUGACGCCCUAUGAAUACGAAGAAGAAAAUUAGAAAAUAGAGUUUCCUAAAAUGUCAACCAGGGGAUGACGUCCUAUGAAGACGAAGAAGAAAAAUAAAAAAUGGAGUUUCCUAAGAUGUCAACUAGGGGAUGACGCCCUAUGAAUACGAAGAAGAAAAUUAGAAAAUAGAGUUUCCUAAAAUGUCAACCAGGGGAUGACGUCCUAUGAAGACGAAGAAGAAAAAUAAAAAAUGGAGUUUCCUAAGAUGUCAACUAGGGGAUGACGCCCUAUGAAUACGAAGAAGAAAAUUAGAAAAUAGAGUUUCCUAAAAUGUCAACCAGGGGAUGACGUCCUAUGAAGACGAAGAAGAAAAAUAAAAAAUGGAGUUUCCUAAGAUGUCAACUAGGGGAUGACGCCCUAUGAAUACGAAGAAGAAAAUUAGAAAAUAGAGUUUCCUAAAAUGUCAACCAGGGGAUGACGUCCUAUGAAGACGAAGAAGAAAAAUAAAAAAUGGAGUUUCCUAAGAUGUCAACUAGGGGAUGACGCCCUAUGAAUACGAAGAAGAAAAGAUAAGAUGUUCACUAAGGGAUGACGCCCUAUGAAGACGAAUAAGAUAUCAACUAGGGGAUGGCGCCCUAUGAAGAUGAAAUAAGAUGUCAACUAGGAGAUGACGCCCUAUGAAGAUGAGAUAAGAUGUCAACUAGGGGAUGGCGCCCUAUGAAGAUGAAUAAGAUAUCAACUAGGGGAUGGCGCCUUAUGAAAACGAAUAAGAUGUCGACUAUGGGAUGGCGUCCUAUGAAGAUGAAUAAGAUGUCAACUAGGGGAUGGCACCCUAUGAAGAUGAAAUAAGAUGUCAACUAGGGGAUGACACCCUAUGAAGACGAGAUAAGAUGUCAACUAGGGGAUGAAGCCCUAUGAAGACUAAUAAGAUGUCAACUAGAGGAUGACGCCCUAUGAAGACAAAGUAAGAUUUCCACUAGGGGAUGACGCCCUAUGAAGACGAAUAAGAUGUAAACUAGGGGAUGACACCCUUUGAAGACGAAUAAGAUGUCAACUAGGGGAUGACGCCUUGUGAAGACGAGAUAAGAUGUCAACUCGGGGAUAGCGCCCUAUAAAGACGAAUAAGAUGUCAACUAGGGGAUGACGCCCUAUGAAGACGAAUAAGAUAUCAACUAGGAGAUGGUGCCCUAUGAAGACGAAUAAGAUGUCAACUAGGGGAUGGCGCCCUAUGAUGACGAGAUAAGAUGUCAACUAGGGGAUGGCACCCUAUGAAGACGAAUAAGAUGUCAACUAGGGGAUGACGCCCUAUGAAGACGAAAUAAGAUGUCCACUAUGGGAUAACGCCCUAUGAAGAUGAAUAAGAUGUCUACUAGGGGAUGGCGCCCUAUGAAGACGAAUAAGAUGUCAACUAGGUGAUGUCGCCCUAUGAAGACGAAAUAAUAUGUGCACUAGGGAAUGUCGCCCUAUGAAGACGAAUAAGAUGUCAACUAGAGGAUGGUGCCCUAUGAAGACGAAUAAGAGUCAACUAGGGGAUUGUACCCUAUGAGGACGAAGAGAUCUUAACUAGGGGAUGGUACCCUAUGAGGAAGAAGACAAUUAGGAGUUUUGUUUCCUAAAGAGUACUCGGUAGAUGUUUUACCUAUUGGGGUAAGUGAGAUAUUUUUUUCUUAUUUUCUUUUUAUAAAAAAAAUAUGCCCAAGGUUUGGAUUCGAGGAACUUUGAUUUUUUUUUUAAUAGAAAAAAAUGCCCCAGUAUUAUACCUUUUAGGGAUGUAAAAAAAAAAAUUAUUCAGCGAGACCGAACUCUGUUGUAGGAUUGCCUACGUAUCUUGCGUAGCAAGAAUCAGGUCUAAUGUAGUUCACAAGAACAUAAUAUUUUCUUUUGAAAGUAUGUGCUUUGUAAACAUCUGGAGAAUGAAAAUUAAUUCAUUUCUUGACUUCAAUUGGUACCAACAAUUAGCAUUAUGGUUGAAUUAUCUCUAAUUACAUUCGAGCAAAAAUCAAGAUCAACCUAGAAGUGAUCCUUAUAGUUUCAAAUGGUACCUCGAAUAUACUUAAUUUUCAACAAGAUUUUUUUAUCUUGCCUCAAUCAAGUGUUUAAAAUCCUUCUUAUCCUCAAGUUUCAAGUCCCCUUACCACAACUAAAGUCCUAAUUUACUAGUAAUAAAAGAGUUCAUAUUUGAGGACACUCAAGAAUCACUCACACUCAGAAAGAUAUUCAACGCAUCAAUGAGAUACCAUAAGCUUGAAGAUCAUGUAAGUUUCCACUAAUGUGAGAACACUCAAAAUGAAAUCAUGUAGGACUUGUCAUUGGUUGAUAUUGUAGGCUUAGGGACAUGUAGGAUGAUAUUUGGGAGUUAAGUGACUAAUUCCUCAAUGAGCACUGCACUGUUUUCGUGCUUUUUCUAUUUGUUGCGGUUUGAAGCUCGAUCUUCUUUGUUGUGCUUCUUUGCCCCUUGUUGUGUAUUUUCUUCGACUUUGUUUGAAUCUUGUGCUGAAGCUUUUCCCCUUUUCUUUUCGAUAAAAGUCUUUUUUUUAUUAAUUUUUUUAUGAAGAUUCUCCAUCUUUAUUGGAGUUUUCUUUUUUUUUUUUAAUGGGAUUUUUUGCUCCUUUUUCUUUGAAGUCGUCUUUUAUUUUUGUUCUCCUGGGGCUAUACGUUCUUUGGCUUUGGCGUCUUUGAUCUUGAUUCUUCAUUCGCACCUUGUACGUAGUUAGUGCGCUCAAUGAGGUAGGCCAAAAGAGGGAUAGUGCAUAUAAGCACUCGAAAGGUAUAGACUCAGAUAUAGUUAUCCAAGGAAAAAGUUUCAGGCUCAAAGGGGAAAGUUCUAGGAAUUAAUGUCAUUUGGUGGUUUUGGAAUGCACAAUCGGAUCAAAGAAGGCCUACAAUCCUUUCCCAAACCAAGUGUAUCUCAAAAUUUCGCCUCACCAAACAUUCAAGCCAAGUUCUAGAUCAAUAGAGCGAUGCCUUUGAAUUUUCAAUCUAAAGCUCACCCCAAAAUGCACACGAAACAAUGAGCUAAGAUUUAUUUUAAACUUGACUUAGAGAAAUAAAACUUUACAAGUGAAACUUUAGUACAAUUAGAGAUACUGAAAGAAUCUGUAGUUCACAAUCAAGUUGGUCCUCUAUCGUAUCUCAUGAUACACUUAAUUUUUUUUUUACAAUUCAUAUUUUUAGGUAUGUUGGUAUCAAUUAUUAGGUCAAGAUUUAUUUUUUUAGAUGAGGCCGAACACAAAAGAAGAGUUGCCUACGUAUCUUGUUGAAACAAGAAUCAGGUCAAACAUAGUUCAGGAAGCUAAAAGAUGAAGCAAGAAUUUUUUAAUUUUUUUUUUUGAAUUUUGAAUUAGGAAAAACUUCUUUUUUUCUUUUCUAUUUUUGUUUUUGAAAUCUUAAUAAACACCUUUUUUAAAUUUAUAUAAGUAUUUCUUUUAGAAGAAGACUAACGUCCCUUUUUUUCAAAUUUAAUGAGGAUCACCGAACCUAAGAAGGGUUGCCUACGUAUCUCAUUAAGAUGAGAAUCAGGUGUGCAUAGUUCGUCCAGAUUGUGGCAAACUCGCUAAUUUAUAAAAUUAUUUUUUUGUUUUUUAUUGUGAAAGCAAAUCUCACAUCUUAUUUGAGUUUCGAAAGAAAGGAUAGGUUUUGGAGAGCAAUUUUCAGCCUCUCUUACUAGAGGCGGAUCCAGGAUCCGAACUCACCGGGUGCUAAGUAAUUCAAUCAGAUUAUUCAUCUUUUCGGUCUAUAGGACAAUUAACAAAUAAAUCAAUAAGCUCUUGAAGUUGCACAUCAAUGACCGUACAAAAGAUUUCAACACGCAAGUGGUGCGAAUAACAAACAUCUAAACACUUACGCUUUGACUUUUCGGGAAAAUAAGGCUCAUCUAAUUUGAGAAUCAAGAUAUCAUGUGAAUCACAAAAUGAAGAAACAUCAUUCAAAAAAUAUUCCCACCCAUUCUCUCUCAUAUCUUGCAAUUUUUUCUUUGAGAUGUUAAGAAACUCCACGGCAUUAACAAUAUCUUGAUCUUUUUUUUUUUUUUUGUAAAAUCUUGCUCAACUCAUUUGAUAUGGCCAACACUUUCAACAUCAAGUAAAGUAUAAAAACAAAUUUGAAUGUUCUAACCUUUGUCAAAAGAUAUUCUGCUUGAUUUCUAUCACUUGAAGUAGAACCUUCAAUUUCAAUCACUCCAAGAACAUGAACAAUGGAUGAAAAAUAACAAAAAAGUUAUCCAAUGUUUUGAAAUGUGAUCCCCAACGAGUAUCACCCGAUCUUUGAAUCCCAUGCUCUUGAUUUAAUCCUUGUUCGGUAUGAGUUUCAUCGGACUCAAGUAAUUGCUUCAAAUUUUCGGCUUGUUGAUGACGAAGUAAAUCUUGAUGUUUAAAAGAUCCUCCAACAACAUUCAGCACAUUAGUAGCAUGAUCAAAAAAGUCUUCAACUUCCACAUGCUUUUUAGCAAUAGCUACAAGUAUUAAUUGCAAUUGAUGUGCAAAACAAUGAAUAUAGUACGCCGAAGGACUAUCUUUCAUAAUUAAAAUUUUGAGAUCAUUUAUCUCUCCCUUCAUAUUACUAGCUCCAUCAUAACCUUGCCCACGUAUUUUGGAUAGACUUAAUGAAUGAUCAGAAAGCUAAGAAUAAAUUUCUUUCUUCAAUGAGCAAGCCGAUGUAUCACUAACAUGGACAAGACCGAUAAAUCAUUCCACUACUUCACCCUUUUUAUCAACAUAUCUCAAAACAAGAGCCAUUUGUUCUUUGUGUGAGAUGUCUUUGGAUUCAUCAACUAAUAUACCAAAAUAAUCUCCAUUCAAGUCCACAAUUAUAACUUUCAAUGUUUCUUUAGCACAGGGCAUUGACAAUAUCCUUUUGGAUCAUAGAACAAGUCAAAGUAUCAUUUUGUGGAGCUUUUUCUAAUAUCACUUUUCCCACAUCCGGAUGGUUGUCUCCAUGCCACCGCAAAAAUCCUAAAAAGUAGCCUUGAUUACUUGAAGAUUCACUUUCGUCAUGACCUCAAAAAGGCAAUUCAUAAUACAAAAGAAGUCUUGCUACAUUAAGUGAAGCUUCCAAACGCAUUCAGUAUUCACUUUUUGACUUUUCAGAAUGUUUGUCAAGAACAACUUGAAUUGAUUGACGAAGAUUUGAUUAAUCUAGCAUCUUAUUGUAACAUUUGUGGUGAACACUAUUAACUUUACCGACAUGCAAACGAAAUCUUUCAAGAGCCUUAUUCCAACCCCUAAAAUCCUUCGAUGCAUAAAAAUCACCCGUAGUUUCAUGAACAAAUUCAUUUUUGAAUAAAUAACAACAAAGACAAUAUGCAGCGUCUUUCUCCACACUUUACUCCAACCAAGUCAAAUGUGAACCUUUAAACCAACUUGAAGCAAAUUGAUGCAUUCUACCUCCUAUUUCACUUGAAGGAUAUGAUUUCAAGAUAGGUUGACAAGGCCCUUUUUAAUAUAAUAUUUCCUCACUUCAACUCGUAUUCGAGGAUCAUAAUCAGAAAUAGGUCUUCUUUCUCCCGGAUCAGAUUUAAGUGAACCAAAAUUGAGGUCAGUUAUAAGACAAGAACGAUUGACAUUGACAUUACUAGAACUAGAUUGAGAAUAAUUAACCUUCUUGAAAAAAAUUCUCCAUCUCAAUUCACAAAAUUAGAACACUUUCUCCUAAAUCAAGAUAAUUUCAAAUUUGGAUUUCUAGGUUUAAGAAAGAGAAACAAAAUAAUUUUUCAAAAUAACUUACAAAGAGAGCAAGCAACAAGCAAGAGUGCAGAGAGAAAGAGUAACCAGCAGCAGCAAAGCUCAAGAACAUAGAUGUUUUGAUUUGGUCCUUUUCUUUGGAAAUAGGGUUUUUGUUUUAAUUUUAAUGAAAGAUAAGUACCUUUUAAAUAAUUAAAUUAAAAAAAAGGUCAAAAAAUAAGAUUACUUUUAUACAAAAUUGCUAAUAGUGUGGCUUUGUGUGGAUGUGCCUUGUUUUUGAGAAUUAUUAUGCCUGUUGGUUUGCUGCCAAAAUGAUUUUUAAAAAACAAAUGUUGCUGGCCAGGUUUGAACACGCGCCUUGGGUCUACAAGUGCAGCACUUUGCCAACUGCACUAGACAACACUCUGUUAUUUCGGGUGCCAUGUUUAAUAUUUAACUAUAUCUCUAUAUAUAUACAGCUAUAUAUAGAGAGUUUCUGUCAAAGUUUGCAGGUGGCGUGCCACCCCCACGGGUCUUAAUAGAUUCGCCCCUGUCUCUUACGCUAAUGGAUUCCAAAGCCGAAAAACAUUCAAAUCAUCCUAACAGUUAAUGGAACUAGUGACACAAAAAAUAAAGUCUUAAAAUAGGGUACUUUUAGACGUUUAAAACUUUGUCGAGCCUCCACUAAGUUAAAAAUAGACGUUAUGCAAAUAAAGUAGAGCCUAAUAGGGAUAAUCAUGUCUAAGUUUUAGUUCUACUAGGUUUAACCUGACGGAGUUAGGUAUCUAGACUAGCUGUAAAACGAGAGGACAACUUGAGUUAGGCAGGGACAUCUUUACCGGUACCAGGGCUUUUUGGCCUCACUGUUGGUCCCUUCCCGUCCUAAAUCAUGGGUGACUACAGAAUCCUUCCCAGGAGUGUUGACGCGUCUCUGGUAUCUCAAGCUCUGGAGCGUAUACCGCAUCUCCGACUAUAAAGUAUCUCAGAAAACUCAGAUGGGUACGCGAGAGAAGAUAGUUUAUAUUGCAAUUCAAAUAAAUUAAAGCAGUUAAACAUGUAGGCAAAUAACAUAUUUAGGCCAACAAUAUACAAUAUCAAAAUUAAAUAAAGACAAACAAGUCAAUAUAAAAGCUCGAAUUCUGAUUAUAUCCCAAGCAGAGUCGCCAUCUGUCACACCCCUAUUUUUUACCGCCGCAGCCCCGCUAGGGAGUUGGUUUUAGAGAAAAUGGAUUUUUCCAAUUAAAGUGACGUUUUGAAAAGGGAUUAUUUAUUUUACAAACUCGCCACUUGGAAUUGAGUUUGGGUGUUCCAAGUCACCUUAUUGAAUCCCUAUUCAAAAGAAAAUGACUCUAAAUUUUAGUCUGCGAUAUAGAAAUCCAAAUAAGGAAUUCUAUUGACCAAAGGAAAAGUUUGAGGCACCCCUCGAGUCCCGUGGUUUUAGCACGGUCGCUUUAAUGACUUGUGUCUGGCUAUUAAUCUUUUAGAUAUUUAUAAUUUUUGUUAGCCUAAAAGUGAUUUCUAUCCCGCUUUUAUUUAUUUUUGAAUUGUUUAAUUAUAUUAAUGUGUGGCUUGCCAGUAGCAGUGCUUUUCGAUCAUGCCAUGGGUUUGGAUAUAUCUCUCGCGCCUUUGUGACAUUUAUGGAUCGUUUCCAUUUUCUCCAAGUCUAAGUAAGCAUCUAAUAAGUUUAGAAUCUGCCCAAUCCAACUCAAUCGGCUUCAAAUGGUAAGUUAAAUUUUAUUAUAACGAAUGGUCGGUAGCAGGGUUUUCCAAUUUCAUCGUUAGUUUCCACUUGUAUAUUAAAUUCUUAAUUAUUUAGAAGAUAAAAACAUAACUCAUUAUUUUACAAGUUCAUUCCUUUACAAUAGGUUUUUCCUCUCUUUUAAUUUAUCACAUAUGAUGGGUCUUGAAUAAGUCUGCAACCCAUUUUAUUUUAGGAAAAAUCACAUAGAUAUACACUUUAAGAGUAAAUAUUACAAAAUCUACCACUAGUUUUUUUUAUUUACAAAAUCUACCAACUAUUCAGUUUCUUUUUUUUUUCUGUAAAAAAUUUAAUCCAAAAAUCCUUUCUCUUCCUUUUUUAUCUCCUCUCUUCUUUCUUUGUAUAACAGAAAAUAUGGAUAGCUUUUGUAAUAUUGACUCUUAAAGUGUAUAUUUAUGUGAUUUGCCCUUAAUAAUUAAAAGCAUAUGCCUUAAUUAAUUUUGAGACACCAAAAUACCAUGACUAUUUAGAACCUUGGAUCCAUAAUGAUUCAAACACCCAUUAGUUAAAUAGACAACUAAUACUGAUCACAUUUAAUGCAAAUGGAUUAGAAAUGAAUCCUCCAUGCACGGUUAUUAAAGAAAAUUAGUUAUCACAUGCAGUAAAGCAAAUUUUAAUUUCAAACUUAUGAUUCUAAAUAGUUACACCAUACUUGAAUCCAAAACUUACUUCACAUUUAAAUAACAACACGAUUUUUUUACGUGUCAUUGUAUGUGUAACUGUUUCCUUGAUCAAUUCAGGUUAGUGAAGAAUGUCGACCAAAGAAAUGAUUAAUGGUUUAAGAUGCAUCCAAUUUUGUCUGAAAUUUAAUGAACCUAGUGGUUGAGUUAUUUUUUUUUAUAUUUUUUUUUAUAAAAAGAAAAUAUGUCACUAUUAGAAAUCAUUACCCCGUAAUUAAUAUAUAUUUUUUUAUUAACAUUUAACUACUCCACUGUCCACAAUUUUCAUGCAAUUCCGUGUCAACACAGUAGAACCAAAUCAUAUGGUUGCUAAAAAUAUUAUAAAUUUAAUGGACUAUUGUAUCUUUUUUUUUUUGUUUGCUCAUUGCAUUUGAUAAGGGCAAAAUUUAAAAAAAAAAAAAAGAUAAUAAACUCUUUCAUUAACUUUAGGAUAAUGAUUUAGCAUCUAAAUAAGAAAAACUACAAUAUUAAUAUUUCUCACAUACGGUGAAUGACGUCGCCGUUCCAACCUAGACAUGUAUCAUAACUAAGGCUUCAAAAUAUGAAAAUAACAAUGGGUUCGAUAAUUACUUAACAUACAAUAGAGUAUGAAAUGUUACGGAAGUUUUAUACUAAAUCUAACGAAAAUAAAAAUAUUCUAACAUACUUUAUAUUAUCAUGUCAAAGAAUAAUAAACCGAACGAAUGCAAAAACAAGAGGAAACUUCGUAAUAUUAAAAUCAAGUCUUGUACAAUUACAAUAGUAAAUUAUACAAGAGAGAUUAGAGGUUACCUCUUGCGAAAAUUAAUUUACAAUAAGAGGAACGAACGGACCACGAACUCGGAACGUAAACGAAACCUCAAAACUCGAAGGGAUUAAUUAAUUGUUAUAUUUUUUUUAUUUUGGAACGUGAAUGGCUGAGAAUUGUUUGUUGGAUUUUUUUUUUUUUUUUUGAUAUAUGUUAGGGAGUAUAAGGAUUAUUAUAGUAGGGUGUAGUUUGUAGUAUUGAAUGUCUUUUUUUUUUCUAUAAUGUGUUGAUUUCCCCCCGUAUAUUUUCUCACUAUCCGUGUAUAUGUCCCCCCUCUUUCUAGUGUUUUAUGUGUGUGUUUAUAUAGGGAGUGUGUAUGUGUGUAGUGCAGAAGUUAGGUUUAGUGCAUGUGUGUUUGUGUAGUGGGGAAGUUAGGUUUGGGAGAUGAU
Molecule: long non-coding RNA, 11890 nt
Filed under: Capsicum annuum
Lineage: Eukaryota; Viridiplantae; Streptophyta; Magnoliopsida; Solanales; Solanaceae
Description: long non-coding RNA (CANN_LNC019946)
Source: RNAcentral